This 429-nucleotide ribosomal RNA is filed under the name Gemmatimonadota bacterium. RNAcentral describes it as "Gemmatimonadetes bacterium partial 16S ribosomal RNA". It matches the Rfam family "Bacterial small subunit ribosomal RNA", at positions 355 to 776 of the family's 1533-position model. The record is from RNAcentral. Lineage: Bacteria; Pseudomonadati; Gemmatimonadota.
UAGGGAAUCUUCGGCAAUGGACGAAAGUCUGACCGAGCAACGCCGCGUGAGUGAAGAAGGUUUUCGGAUCGUAAAACUCUGUUGUUAGAGAAGAACAAGGACGUUAGUAACUGAACGUCCCCUGACGGUAUCUAACCAGAAAGCCACGGCUAACUACGUGCCAGCAGCCGCGGUAAUACGUAGGUGGCAAGCGUUGUCCGGAUUUAUUGGGCGUAAAGCGAGCGCAGGCGGUUUCUUAAGUCUGAUGUGAAAGCCCCCGGCUCAACCGGGGAGGGUCAUUGGAGACUGGGAGACUUGAGUGCAGAAGAGGAGAGUGGAAUUCCAUGUGUGGCGGUGAAAUGCGUAGAGAUAUGGAGGAACGCCAGUGGCGAGGGCGGCUCUCUGGUCUGUAACUGACGCUGAGGCUCGAAAGCGUGGGGAGCAAACAGG